UACGUAGGGUGCGAGCGUUGUCCGGAAUUAUUGGGCGUAAAGGGCUCGUAGGCGGUUUGUCGCGUCGGGAGUGAAAUCCACUGGCUUAACUGGUGGCUUGCUUUCGAUACGGGCAGACUGGAGGGAUGCAGGGGAGAACGGAAUUCCUGGUGUAGCGGUGAAAUGCGCAGAUAUCAGGAGGAACACCGGUGGCGAAGGCGGGUCUCUGGGCAAUAACUGACGCUGAGGAGCGAAAGCGUGGGGAGCGAACAGG
RNAcentral lists this ribosomal RNA (253 nucleotides) under uncultured bacterium. Its description in RNAcentral is "partial 16S ribosomal RNA". It matches the Rfam family "Bacterial small subunit ribosomal RNA", at positions 524 to 776 of the family's 1533-position model. The record is from RNAcentral.